RNAcentral lists this ribosomal RNA (429 nucleotides) under Acidobacteriota bacterium. RNAcentral describes it as "Acidobacteria bacterium partial 16S ribosomal RNA". It matches the Rfam family "Bacterial small subunit ribosomal RNA", at positions 355 to 776 of the family's 1533-position model. Lineage: Bacteria; Pseudomonadati; Acidobacteriota. The record is from RNAcentral.
UAGGGAAUCUUCCGCAAUGGGCGAAAGCCUGACGGAGCAAUGCCGCGUGAGUGAAGAAGGCCUUCGGGUCGUAAAACUCUGUUAUAAGAGAAGAACAAAUUGUAGAGUAACUGCUACAGUCUUGACGGUAUCUUAUCAGAAAGCCACGGCUAACUACGUGCCAGCAGCCGCGGUAAUACGUAUGAGGCAAGCGUUGUCCGGAUUUAUUGGGCGUAAAGGGAGCGCAGGUGGUUUCUUAAGUCUGAUGUGAAAGCCCACGGCUUAACCGAGGAGGGUAAUUGGAAACUGGGAAGCUUGGGUAGAGAAGAGGAAAGUGGAACUCCAUGUGUAGCGUUGGAAUGCGUAGAAAUAUGAAAGAACACCAGUGGCGAAGGCGACAGUCUGGUCUGUUACUGACACUGAGGCUCGAAAGCGUGGGGAGCAAACAGG